CAACGAUGAAGAGUUUGAUCCUGGCUCAGGAUGAACGCUAGCGGCAGGCCUAACACAUGCAAGUCGAGGGGCAGCGGGGAUAAGCUUGCU
This 90-nucleotide ribosomal RNA is filed under the name Arenibacter sp. 6A1. Its description in RNAcentral is "partial 16S ribosomal RNA". It matches the Rfam family "Bacterial small subunit ribosomal RNA", at positions 1 to 90 of the family's 1533-position model. The record is from RNAcentral. Lineage: Bacteria; Pseudomonadati; Bacteroidota; Flavobacteriia; Flavobacteriales; Flavobacteriaceae.